This 72-nucleotide transfer RNA is filed under the name Fusarium equiseti. RNAcentral describes it as "tRNA-Thr". It matches the Rfam family "tRNA". From Rfam's summary of the family: Transfer RNA (tRNA) molecules are approximately 80 nucleotides in length. Their secondary structure includes four short double-helical elements and three loops (D, anti-codon, and T loops). Further hydrogen bonds mediate the characteristic L-shaped molecular structure. tRNAs have two regions of fundamental functional importance: the anti-codon, which is responsible for specific mRNA codon recognition, and the 3' end, to which the tRNAs corresponding amino acid is attached (by aminoacyl-tRNA synthetases). tRNAs cope with the degeneracy of the genetic code in two manners: having more than one tRNA (with a specific anti-codon) for a particular amino acid; and 'wobble' base-pairing, i.e. permitting non-standard base-pairing at the 3rd anti-codon position. The record is from RNAcentral. Lineage: Eukaryota; Fungi; Ascomycota; Sordariomycetes; Hypocreales; Nectriaceae.
GCCCCGUUGGCUCAGUGGUAAAGCGUAUCACUAGUAACGAUAAGAUCACUGGUUCGAUUCCAGUACGGGGCA